Molecule: ribosomal RNA, 468 nt
Filed under: uncultured bacterium
Lineage: Bacteria
Description: partial 16S ribosomal RNA
Rfam family: Bacterial small subunit ribosomal RNA
Source: RNAcentral
GACGAACGCUGGCGGCGUGCUUAACACAUGCAAGUCGAACGGAAAGGCCCUGCUUUUGUGGGGUGCUCGAGUGGCGAACGGGGGAGUAACACGUGAGUAUCCUGCCCUUGACUUUGGGAUAACUUCAGGAAACUGGGGCUAAUACCGGAUAGGAUCUCCUGCUGCAUGGUGGGGGUUGGAAAGUUUCGGCGGUUGGGGAUGGACUCGCGGCUUAUCAGCUUGUUGGUGGGGUAGUGGCUUACCAAGGCUUUGACGGGUAGCCGGCCUGAGAGGGUGACCGGCCACAUUGGGACUGAGAUACGGCCCAGACUCCUACGGGAGGCAGCAGUGGGGAAUAUUGCACAAUGGGCGGAAGCCUGAUGCAGAAACGCCGCGUGCGGGAUGACGGCCUUCGGGUUGUAAACCGCUUUCGCCUGUGGCGAAGCGUGAGUGACGGUAAUGGGUAAAGAAGCACCGGCUAACUACGUG